CAAAAUCUAGUAUAUAGAUGGUGACUUAGGGAUGGUGGUUGAUGGGUAAAAUGAUGAAUUACCUGAGUUUAAAUCUGAAACGACUUGGGAGAAAUAAGGCAGCGUUGGCUAAGGGUGAAAGUGAUGCCUCCUUGAUGACCGUCCCCAACACUCCAUCUCUUGUAACCCACUAUUCCAAUCUCUAUGCAUCUCUCUUCUGCAGGGUGCUCUGCAUCAUCAGGAAGGAGUUUCACUUGCAUAGUAAGUGGCUCCUUUUGAGGCUGUCUGGCUGCAUUGGAGAAAGAUGCCACAUCAACAACAUAGGCACACACAAGAGAAAAUGCAGAUUAAGACAAUGAUUCUAAAAAUAAGUGACAACUGUUUCCUCAUAGAGUCCCAUGAUCUCAACCAUUGAUUGAUGAAGUCUCCUGGACUGGAGGGUUUGAUCACUCAAGACUUUAACUUGUGUCUUCACACAAUUUAUAAAGAUGAUAUAUUAGCAGAC
Molecule: long non-coding RNA, 484 nt
Filed under: Vulpes vulpes (red fox)
Lineage: Eukaryota; Metazoa; Chordata; Mammalia; Carnivora; Canidae
Description: lncRNA (ENSVVUG00000009925.1)
Source: RNAcentral